This 424-nucleotide ribosomal RNA is filed under the name uncultured bacterium. RNAcentral describes it as "bacterial SSU rRNA". It matches the Rfam family "Bacterial small subunit ribosomal RNA", at positions 356 to 773 of the family's 1533-position model. The record is from RNAcentral.
AGGGAAUCUUCCGCAAUGGACGCAAGUCUGACGGAGCAACGCCGCGUGAGUGAUGAAGGUUUUCGGAUCGUAAAGCUCUGUUGCCAAGGAAGAACGUCGAGGAGAGUAACUGCUCUUCGAAUGACGGUACUUGAGAAGAAAGCCCCGGCUAACUACGUGCCAGCAGCCGCGGUAAUACGUAGGGGGCAAGCGUUGUCCGGAAUUAUUGGGCGUAAAGCGCGCGCAGGCGGUCUUUUAAGUCUGGUGUUUAAGCCCGGGGCUCAACCCCGGUUCGCACUGGAAACUGGGAGACUUGAGUGCAGGAGAGGAAAGUGGAAUUCCACGUGUAGCGGUGAAAUGCGUAGAGAUGUGGAGGAACACCAGUGGCGAAGGCGACUUUCUGGACUGUAACUGACGCUGAGGCGCGAAAGCGUGGGGAGCAAAC